RNAcentral lists this long non-coding RNA (1117 nucleotides) under Oryctolagus cuniculus (rabbit). RNAcentral describes it as "lncRNA (ENSOCUG00000035190.1)". Lineage: Eukaryota; Metazoa; Chordata; Mammalia; Lagomorpha; Leporidae. The record is from RNAcentral.
GCAGGGAAUGAAUUAACGAUGACAAAGACUUCUAAAGGAAAGACACGAGGGGAAGAGAGGCCAGGGUCCCCGACUAGCAGGAGUCCGACUCAGGUGUGUCAGGCUGAGGGAACAUAAGGCCAUCUUUGACCACACAAAUGUGUUCCCUCUCUUAUAACCACUUAGCUCCCAGAACUAACACAAGAGAAGCAGGAAUCCCGAGUCCAAGAAGCCAAAGAGUAGAGUUUGAAUCUUGUUAUUGAGAGCGGGGGGACCUGGCACUGAGUCAUUGAUCAGGGUCCUGGGAAUAUUUUCGCCACAACUCGCCGAGGCAGGGAGGUGCUCAGGUAGCCCUGCUGUUGUCUUUGUGGCAAAGCCGCGACUGAGCGCUGCUAGAUGCAGCCCUGUCCCCAAGCGCUCUGACAUGCUAGCUCCAUGUGGCCAUGCACCUCUGAGACCAGAGUGACUGCCUUGCUCUUUCCUUGUUUGUUGUAGGUACCUCCCAGGAAGCAUCACAGACAACCACCACUCCUGGAAUCAGUGGCACAGAGGCCACCACUUCCAAGGAACACAUUCCAACCACUGAAGCAGAGACUUCCCCUGGCACCUCCCAGGCAGCAUCGGAAACAACGGCUACAGGAAUCACUACCACCACAGGUAAGGCCAAGAGAAAGGAGUCACUCCCAAGAGGGUGAUCUAUGAGAUGGUCGCUCCUGGCGUCUCCACUCCCCUGUUCUCUCGUCAUUGUCCCUCCCUGAGCAGUUGCCUCUUCCGCUGCCGUCAGUGAAACUUCUGGUCUGGAGUGCACACGGGUGAAUGUUGACCGUACAGAAUUCCCAUGACCGGUGUGGCCUGGAAGGUCAUGGGGAGAAUUGAAUUUGGGGGAGGCAGUGUAGGAUGGGAACAGGACAGAGCGGCUGGGACAAUGCUGUUAAAUAUCCCUGAGACGUGACUUUGGAGGACUACUUGGGACGGACCCCUUUUUCUCGGGGCUUACUUGGAUUCAGGCUUCCACCAGCUCCCCCAGGAAGCCCAGUCACACAUCUUCACAGUUCUCUGGUGGGAGUUAGUGCUUUGAGGUUGUUCAGUUAACAGCUCUGGAGGUGCCUGUUCUAGGGGUUCCAUUCAGUGCCUCCCU